CCUACGGGUGGCAGCAGUGGGGAAUAUUUCGCAAUGGGGGCAACCCUGACGCAGCAACGCCGCGUGAUUGAAGAAGGCCUUCGGGUUGUAAAGAUCUUUAAUCGGGGACGAAUUUUGACGGUACCAGAAGAAAAAGCUCCGGCAAACUACGUGCCAGAAGCCGCGGUAAUACGUAAGGAGCAAGCGUUAUCCGGAUUGACGGGGUGUAAAGGGCGGGUAGGCGGGCAUGCAAGCCAGAAGUGAAAUCUGGGGGCUUAACACCCAGACUGCUUUUGAAACUGGGUGUCUUGAGUUAUGGAGAGGCAGGCGGAAUUUCCAGUGUAGCGGUGAAAUGCGUAGAUAUUGGGAGGAACACCAGUGGCGAAGGCGGCCUGCUGGACAUUAACUGACGCUGAGGCGCGAAAGCGUGGGGAGCAAACAGGAUUAGAUACCCGUGUAGUC
RNAcentral lists this ribosomal RNA (441 nucleotides) under uncultured bacterium. RNAcentral describes it as "partial 16S ribosomal RNA". It matches the Rfam family "Bacterial small subunit ribosomal RNA", at positions 338 to 795 of the family's 1533-position model. The record is from RNAcentral.